GGGGAUGUAGCUCAGUUGGUAGAGUGCUUGCCUUGCAUGCAGAAGGCCCUGGGUUCCAUCCCCAGCACCA
RNAcentral lists this transfer RNA (70 nucleotides) under Marmota marmota marmota (Alpine marmot). It matches the Rfam family "tRNA". From Rfam's summary of the family: Transfer RNA (tRNA) molecules are approximately 80 nucleotides in length. Their secondary structure includes four short double-helical elements and three loops (D, anti-codon, and T loops). RNAcentral also lists the same sequence under 1 other name. The record is from Rfam by way of RNAcentral. Lineage: Eukaryota; Metazoa; Chordata; Mammalia; Rodentia; Sciuridae.